CCGAUGGCGACCGGCGCACGGGUGAGUAACACGUAUCCAACCUGCCGACUAACUCGGGGAUAGCCUUCGAAAGAAAGAUUAAUAUCCGAUAGGAUAUCAAGGUCGCAUGAUCUUGAUAUUAAAGAAUUUCGGUUAUCGAUGGGGAUGCGUUCCAUUAGUUAGUUGGCGGGGUAACGGCCCACCAAGACGACGAUGUCUAGGGGUUCUGAGAGGAAGGUCCCCCACACUGGUACUGAGACACGGACCAGACUCCUACGGAAGGCAGCAG
Molecule: ribosomal RNA, 268 nt
Filed under: uncultured bacterium
Lineage: Bacteria
Description: partial 16S ribosomal RNA
Rfam family: Bacterial small subunit ribosomal RNA
Source: RNAcentral